RNAcentral lists this ribosomal RNA (520 nucleotides) under uncultured Glomus. Its description in RNAcentral is "SSU rRNA". It matches the Rfam family "Eukaryotic small subunit ribosomal RNA", at positions 569 to 1093 of the family's 1831-position model. Lineage: Eukaryota; Fungi; Glomeromycota; Glomeromycetes; Glomerales; Glomeraceae. The record is from RNAcentral.
AGCAGCCGCGGUAAUUCCAGCUCCAAUAGCGUAUAUUAAAGUUGCUGCAGUUAAAAAGCUCGUAGUUGAAUUUCAGGAUCGAUUUACUGGUCGUGCCUUUGGUACGUACUGGUUUUGUUGGUUCUUCCUUUCCGAGGAGCCGCGAUGUCAUUAAUUUGGUGUCGCGGGGAAUCGGGACUGUUACUUUGAAAAAAUUAGAGUGUUUAAAGCAGGCUAACGCUUGAAUACAUUAGCAUGGAAUAAUGAAAUAGGACGAUUGAUCCUAUUUUGUUGGUUUAUAGGAUCGACGUAAUGAUUAAUAGGGAUAGUUGGGGGUAUUAGUAUUCAAUUGUCAGAGGUGAAAUUCUUGGAUUUAUUGAAGACUAACUACUGCGAAAGCAUUUACCAAGGAUGUUUUCAUUAAUCAAGAACGAAAGUUAGGGGAUCGAAGACGAUCAGAUACCGUCGUAGUCUUAACCAUAAACUAUGCCGACUAGGGAUCGGAUGAUAAUUUUUUAAUAACUCAUUCGGCGCCUUACGG